CAGCAGCCACGGUAAUACGUAGGUGGCAAGCGUUGUCCGGAAUUAUUGGGCGUAAAGGGCUCGCAGGCGGUUUCUUAAGUCUGAUGUGAAAGCCCCCGGCUCAACCGGGGAGGGUCAUUGGAAACUGGGAAACUUGAGUGCAGAAGAGGAGAGUGGAAUUCCACGUGUAGCGGUGAAAUGCGUAGAUAUAUGGAGGAACACCGGUGGCGAAAGCGGCUCUCUGGCUUGUAACUGACGCUGAGAGACGAAAGCUAGGGGAGCAAAUGGGAUUAGAUACCCCUGUAGUCCCUGUCUCUUAUAC
RNAcentral lists this ribosomal RNA (301 nucleotides) under uncultured bacterium. RNAcentral describes it as "partial 16S ribosomal RNA". It matches the Rfam family "Bacterial small subunit ribosomal RNA", at positions 509 to 807 of the family's 1533-position model. The record is from RNAcentral.